This 290-nucleotide small RNA is filed under the name Pan troglodytes (chimpanzee). RNAcentral describes it as "processed transcript". Lineage: Eukaryota; Metazoa; Chordata; Mammalia; Primates; Hominidae. The record is from RNAcentral.
GACUCUGAACCUUCAGAGUUAUCAGAGACAGAGCUAUAAAUAGAGGCUCACAGUGCACAGGGCUGUUCAGCACCACAGUGCUGGGUGGCUCCUCCAGUGCCCCGAAUCUUGAGGGCUAUGCCCGCAGCCAUGGCAAAAAGCUACCACCUGCCAGUCCGAAGCACCGAGAUGAUCCUUCCCGCCAGAAGAAACUUGUACUGGGAGAUCAACACCAGCUAGUGCGUUUCUCUAUAAAGCCUCAACGUAUAGGACAGAUUUCACAUGCCCAGAGGCUGUUGAGCAGGUUUCAU